GAUUAACGCUGGCGGCAUGCCUAAUGCAUGCAAGUAGAACGCCCCGCAAGGGGAGUGGCAGACGGGUGAGUAACGCGUGGGAACGUGCCCUUCGCUUCGGAAUAGCCCCGGGAAACUGGGAGUAAUACCGAAUACGCCGUAUUGGGAAAGAUUUAUCGGCGAAGGAUCGGCCCGCGUUAGAUUAGCUAGUUGGCGGUGUAAUGGACCACCAAGGCUACGAUCUAUAGCUGGUCUGAGAGGAUGAUCAGCCACACUGGGACUGAGACACGGCCCAGACUCCUACGGGAGGCAGCAGUGGGGAAUCUUGGACAAUGGGCGCAAGCCUGAUCCAGCCAUGCCGCGUGAGUGAAGAAGGCCUUAGGGUUGUAAAACUCUUUCGCCGGAGAAGAUAAUGACGGUAUCCGGAGAAGAAGCCCCGGCUAACUUCGUGCCAGCCGCCGCAGUAA
RNAcentral lists this ribosomal RNA (446 nucleotides) under uncultured bacterium. Its description in RNAcentral is "partial 16S ribosomal RNA". It matches the Rfam family "Bacterial small subunit ribosomal RNA", at positions 28 to 523 of the family's 1533-position model. The record is from RNAcentral.